CAGUCGCCGCGGGAAUACGAAGGGUGCAAGCGUUACUCGGAAUUACUGGGCGUAAAGCAUGCGUAGGUGGUGGUUUAAGUCCGUUGUGAAAGCCCUGGGCUCAACCUGGGAAUUGCAGUGGAUACUGGGUCACUAGAGUGUGGUAGAGGAUAGUGGAAUUUCCGGUGUAGCAGUGAAAUGCGUAGAGAUCGGAAGGAACAUCUGUGGCGAAGGCGACUAUCUGGGCCAACACUGACACUGAGGCACGAAAGCGUGGGGAGCAAACAGGAUUAGAUACCCCUGUAGUCCCUGUCUCUUAUAC
This 301-nucleotide ribosomal RNA is filed under the name uncultured bacterium. RNAcentral's name for it is "partial 16S ribosomal RNA". It matches the Rfam family "Bacterial small subunit ribosomal RNA", at positions 509 to 807 of the family's 1533-position model. The record is from RNAcentral.